RNAcentral lists this ribosomal RNA (301 nucleotides) under uncultured bacterium. Its description in RNAcentral is "partial 16S ribosomal RNA". It matches the Rfam family "Bacterial small subunit ribosomal RNA", at positions 509 to 807 of the family's 1533-position model. The record is from RNAcentral.
CAGUAGCCGCGGGAAUACGUAAGUGGCAAGCGUUGUCCGGAAUUAUUGGGCGUAAAGGGCUCGCAGGCGGUUUCUUAAGUCUGAUGUGAAAGCCCCCGGCUCAACCGGGGAGGGCCAUUGGAAACUGGGAAACUUGAGUGCAGAAGAGGAGAGUGGAAUCCCACGUGUAGCGGUGAAAUGCGUAGAGAUGUGGAGGAACACCAGUGGCGAAGGCGACUCUCUGGUCUGUAACUGACGCUGAGGAGCGAAAGCGUGGGGAGCGAACAGGAUUAGAUACCCCUGUAGUCCCUGUCUCUUAUAC